AUUCAGCUGACGAGUCUUGAAUAGGGCGAAACGCGCGUUCUGGAU
RNAcentral lists this non-coding RNA (45 nucleotides) under Schistosoma margrebowiei. The record is from RNAcentral. Lineage: Eukaryota; Metazoa; Platyhelminthes; Trematoda; Strigeidida; Schistosomatidae.